AUUUAUAUAGUAUAAUAGUAUAUUUGACUUCCAAUCAAAAGGUCUAAUUUUUUUUAGUAUAAAUA
This 65-nucleotide transfer RNA is filed under the name Megaporus rufipes. RNAcentral's name for it is "tRNA-Gly". It matches the Rfam family "tRNA". From Rfam's summary of the family: Transfer RNA (tRNA) molecules are approximately 80 nucleotides in length. Their secondary structure includes four short double-helical elements and three loops (D, anti-codon, and T loops). Further hydrogen bonds mediate the characteristic L-shaped molecular structure. tRNAs have two regions of fundamental functional importance: the anti-codon, which is responsible for specific mRNA codon recognition, and the 3' end, to which the tRNAs corresponding amino acid is attached (by aminoacyl-tRNA synthetases). tRNAs cope with the degeneracy of the genetic code in two manners: having more than one tRNA (with a specific anti-codon) for a particular amino acid; and 'wobble' base-pairing, i.e. permitting non-standard base-pairing at the 3rd anti-codon position. The record is from RNAcentral. Lineage: Eukaryota; Metazoa; Arthropoda; Insecta; Coleoptera; Dytiscidae.